CAAUAGCGUAUAUUAAAGUUGUUGCAAGUUAAAAAGCUCGUAGUUGGAUUUCUGGGCAGGGAGCGACCGGUCCGCCGCAAGGUGUGCACCUAGGUUUGUCUCCAGUCAUCUUUGUGGGAACUGCUCUGGCAUUAGGUUGUCGGGGUUAGGGAACACAUCGUUUUACUGUGAAAAAUUAGAGUGUUUAAAAGCAGGCUUUAUGCCGUUGAAUACAUUAGCAUGGAAUAAUAAGAUAGGACUUUGGUGGUCUAUUUUGUUGGUUUGCACACCAAGGUAAUGAUUAAUAGGGAGUAGUUGGGGGUAUUCGUAUUUAAUUGUCAGAGGUGAAAUUCUUGGAUUUAUGAAAGACGAACUACUGCGAAAGCAUUUACCAAAGAUGUUUUCAUUAAUCAAGAACGAAAGUUAGGGGAUCGAAGACGAUUAGAUACCAU
RNAcentral lists this ribosomal RNA (431 nucleotides) under uncultured eukaryote. Its description in RNAcentral is "bacterial SSU rRNA". It matches the Rfam family "Eukaryotic small subunit ribosomal RNA", at positions 592 to 1018 of the family's 1831-position model. The record is from RNAcentral.